Molecule: ribosomal RNA, 433 nt
Filed under: uncultured bacterium
Lineage: Bacteria
Description: partial 16S ribosomal RNA
Rfam family: Bacterial small subunit ribosomal RNA
Source: RNAcentral
AGCGAACGCUGGCGGCAGGCUUAACACAUGCAAGUCGAGCGGGCCCUUCGGGGUCAGCGGCAGACGGGUGAGUAACACGUGGGAACGUACCCUUUGGUUCGGAAUAACGCUGGGAAACUAGCGCUAAUACCGGAUACGCCCUUUUGGGGAAAGGCUUGCUGCCGAAGGAUCGGCCCGCGUCUGAUUAGCUAGUUGGUGGGGUAAUGGCCUACCAAGGCGACGAUCAGUAGCUGGUCUGAGAGGAUGAUCAGCCACACUGGGACUGAGACACGGCCCAGACUCCUACGGGAGGCAGCAGUGGGGAAUAUUGGACAAUGGGGGCAAGCCUGAUCCAGCCAUGCCGCGUGAGUGAUGAAGGCCUUAGGGUUGUAAAGCUCUUUUGUCCGGGACGAUAAUGACGGUACCGGAAGAAUAAGCCCCGGCUAACUUCGUG